Molecule: non-coding RNA, 45 nt
Filed under: Schistosoma haematobium
Lineage: Eukaryota; Metazoa; Platyhelminthes; Trematoda; Strigeidida; Schistosomatidae
Source: RNAcentral
AUCCAGCUGACGCGUCCCAAGUAGGACGAAACAGCCGUCCUGGAU